Nothoprocta perdicaria is the source of this 168-nucleotide long non-coding RNA. RefSeq lists it as uncharacterized. The transcript is spliced from 3 exons. The record is from RefSeq and is a predicted model, not a curated record. Lineage: Eukaryota; Metazoa; Chordata; Aves; Tinamiformes; Tinamidae.
CAGGACAUGACGAUGAAGCAAGCCACAGACCUGCUGCCAGCAGGCACCUGAGCUGUGUUGCCAGCAAAAUCUUCUGGGUCACAGUAGGGGACAUGCUGGGGAGAGGGAAGAUGUUGCUGGUCUAAAGCUCCCCAAAGGUCACUGAAAGAUGCCCCUCCAUGCUCUGCU